RNAcentral lists this ribosomal RNA (253 nucleotides) under uncultured bacterium. RNAcentral's name for it is "partial 16S ribosomal RNA". It matches the Rfam family "Bacterial small subunit ribosomal RNA", at positions 524 to 776 of the family's 1533-position model. The record is from RNAcentral.
UACGUAGGGGGCAAGCGUUGUCCGGAUUUAUUGGGCGUAAAGAGCGUGUAGGCGGUUUGGUAGGUCCGCUGUGAAAACUCGAGCUCAACCUCGAGACGCCGGUGGAAACCAUCAGACUAGAGUCCGGAAGAGGAGAGUGGAAUUCCUGGUGUAGCGGUGAAAUGCGCAGAUAUCAGGAAGAACACCCCGUGGCUAAGGCGGCUCUCUAGUACGGUACUGACGCUGAGACGCGAAAGCGUGGGGAGCGAACAGG